RNAcentral lists this ribosomal RNA (267 nucleotides) under uncultured bacterium. RNAcentral describes it as "partial 16S ribosomal RNA". It matches the Rfam family "Bacterial small subunit ribosomal RNA", at positions 524 to 787 of the family's 1533-position model. The record is from RNAcentral.
GACAGAGGGUGCAAACGUUGCUCGGAAUCACUGGGCGUAAAGGGCGUGUAGGCGGGUAGGCAAGUCGGGCGUGAAAUCCCUGAGCUCAACUCAGGAACUGCACUCGAAACUGCUUAUCUUGAGUGCCGGAGAGGAAAGCGGAAUACCUGGUGUAGAGGUGAAAUUCGUAGAUAUCAAGAGGAACACCAGUGGCGAAGGCGAAGUCCCUGGACAACACCUGACACUGAGGCACGAAAAGCCGGGGGAGCAAACAGGAUUAGGAUACCC